UGGGGAAUAUUGGACAAUGGGCGCAAGCCUGAUCCAGCCACGCCGCGUGAGUGAUGAAGACCUUCGGGUCGUAAAGCUCUGUGGGGAGGGACGAACGUCCCGUUGAAGAAACGGGGGUGACGGUACCUCCUUAGCAAGCACCGGCUAACUUCGUGCCAGCAGCCGCGGUAAUACGAAGGGUGCAAACGUUGCUCGGAAUCAUUGGGCGUAAAGCGCACGUAGGCGGCGCUGUAAGUCGGACGUGAAAUCCCUCGGCUCAACCGAGGACGUGCAUCCGAAACUACAGUGCUCGAGUAUGGAAGAGGGUCGCGGAAUUCUCGGUGUAGAGGUGAAAUUCGUAGAUAUCGGGAGGAACACCAGUGGCGAAGGCGGCGACCUGGGCCAAUACUGACGCUGAGGUGCGAAAGCGUGGGGAGCAAA
Molecule: ribosomal RNA, 420 nt
Filed under: uncultured bacterium
Lineage: Bacteria
Description: bacterial SSU rRNA
Rfam family: Bacterial small subunit ribosomal RNA
Source: RNAcentral